RNAcentral lists this unclassified non-coding RNA (449 nucleotides) under Hevea brasiliensis (rubber tree). Lineage: Eukaryota; Viridiplantae; Streptophyta; Magnoliopsida; Malpighiales; Euphorbiaceae. The record is from RNAcentral.
UCUCUCUCUCUCUCUCUCCCUUCUGCCUCCAUCUACCGUCUUUCUCCCUCUCUCUCCCAAUCUUAGGUUGCUUCUUGGCAAUCCCCUUCAGUCCUUCCUCAAGAGCGCCAACUCAAACUUCGUCCUCACCUUCUUUGUCUCCCUGCAUCCCAAUUUAACACAUACCUUCCAAUUUAAGAUUCCCAAAAAAAUCAUAAAAAAAAUGCCCCCUUGCAUUCCACUAACCAGAAUGCAUAUAAAAGUGAAAGACAACCGUCCCCAAAACCAAAACCCAAGACAACAGUUUCAAUUGCAUCAGUAGCAACCACCAGACCAGUAGCUUCUACCAUCAUGAAGCCAGCGUAACUUGCCAUCAGCUCUGAAGACUCAGAGCAUUCAUCAUGAAUGACUCAUGCAUUGCCAUUUUAGAGGACAUGAAAGCACUCAGCGUACUUGAUGCUUGAUCUCAG